RNAcentral lists this ribosomal RNA (251 nucleotides) under uncultured prokaryote. Its description in RNAcentral is "partial 16S ribosomal RNA". It matches the Rfam family "Bacterial small subunit ribosomal RNA", at positions 524 to 774 of the family's 1533-position model. The record is from RNAcentral.
UACGGAGGAUGCAAGCGUUAUCCGGAUUUAUUGGGUUUAAAGGGUGCGCAGGUUGUUUGAUAAGUCAGUGGCGAAAGUCUGUCGCUUAACGGUAGGAUUGCCAUUGAUACUGUUGGACUUGAAUAUGGAUGAGGUAGGCGGAAUGUGUAGUGUAGCGGUGAAAUGCAUAGAUAUUACACAGAACACCGAUUGCGAAGGCAGCUUACUAAUCCAUCAUUGACGCUGAGGCACGAAAGCGUGGGGAUCAAACA